Molecule: ribosomal RNA, 261 nt
Filed under: uncultured prokaryote
Description: partial 16S ribosomal RNA
Rfam family: Bacterial small subunit ribosomal RNA
Source: RNAcentral
UACGUAGGUGGCAAGCGUUGUCCGGAUUUAUUGGGCGUAAAGGGAGCGCAGGCGGUGACUUAAGUCUGAUGUGAAAGCCCACGGCUCAACCGUGGAAGGUCAUUGGAAACUGGGUCACUUGAAUAUAGAAGAGGAAAGUGGAAUUCCAUGUGUAGCGGUGAAGUGCGUAGAUAUAUGGAGGAACACCAGUGGCGAGGGCGACUUUCUGGUCUAUUAUUGACGCUGAGGCUCGAAAGCAUGGGUAGCAAACAGGAUUAGAUA